RNAcentral lists this ribosomal RNA (123 nucleotides) under Propithecus coquereli (Coquerel's sifaka). Lineage: Eukaryota; Metazoa; Chordata; Mammalia; Primates; Indriidae. The record is from RNAcentral.
GUCGAUGGCCAUACCUCCCUGAACGUGCCCGAUCUUGUCUGGAUCUCGGAAACUAAGCAGGGUCAGCCUGGUUAGAACUUGGAUAGGAGAUGUUCAAACAGUAUGCUUCUAGAAUUAUUCAUC